RNAcentral lists this long non-coding RNA (1561 nucleotides) under Olea europaea subsp. europaea. Lineage: Eukaryota; Viridiplantae; Streptophyta; Magnoliopsida; Lamiales; Oleaceae. The record is from RNAcentral.
AAGAACCAGGUUCAGAUGGUGAGUUCUUCGAUUGCAAAAUUCGAUGUGAUGAACUUUGACGAAUCUGAAAAUUUCGAAUUAUGGCAAUAAAGGGUGAAGGAUAUGUUGGCACAACGCAAAGGAUGGUGAAGGCACUAUUGGAGGAGGUUCACAGGGGUGAAGGGUUGAUCGUGAAUAUUGUGGGAGAAGGAUGGACAAAGGUUGUUCUUACAAAGGGUGUUAGAGAUCAAAAUCUAGGAAUAAAAAAAAAAAAAAAGCCCAGUGCUACAAAUGCCUCCAGAUGGGGCCACUUUAAGAAAGAUUGUCAGCAGUGUGAUGAAAUGAAAAGCGGUGUCCUCAAACUCGGCUACUGUUGCAAAAGGAGACUCGGAUUCUAGAGAUAAAGACAUUUAUCACUUUACAAAUAAUUCUUAUAGUACAUAACUGUUGGAUUCUUGAUUCAGUCAGUUCAUAUCACAUGUAUCCUCAUCGAAAUUGGCUCGAUUCAUAUCUAAUGGGUAAUGAUGCAUCAUGUAAAGUCAUUGAAAUGAGAAUAUUAGGCAAGUAACAGAGUUAAGAAGGAACCUAAUUUCUUUCCAUAGCAUAUGCGAUUGGGUGCAUAGGAAAACAUUUGAGCUUCACAAGAGUAAUUUGUUGAAGAGGGUAAAAUAGGGGGUAAUUUGUUCUAAUGGGUAAGAUGCAUCAUGUAUGGUCAUUAAAAUGAGGAUGUUAGGCAUGUAACAGAGUAUAGUUGGAGAUGUGAAAGCACAAGACGGUGGGCAUUCUUGAUUACGUGCACUCUGAUAUUACAUUACUUUCAUCGAUGACUUCUCUAGAGUAAAUUGAGUUACUGCAUAAUGAUACUUGAAAUUUGGUAGAGCUUUCAGAGGAGAAAGAAACUAAUAAAGUGCACGUAAAGUGUAUGAAAAUGGGUGUACAGAAAAAAAGAAGCAAUGUGAAGACUGCUUUCCUUAGUGAUGAUUUGGAGGAACAGAUAGCGGCCAGAGGGUUCUUGAAACCCAUACCAGAGAAUCUUGUGUGUAGACCAAAGAGUGUACAGGGAAUCUUGUGUGUAGACUGAAGAGUUCGGGGUUGGUUCGUAUAUUUUCUUGAUGUUGUAUGUGGAUGACAUGCUAAUUUCUGCCAAGAACAUAAAUGAGGUAGACAGAUUGAAAUCUUUGUUGAGCAGUAAGUUUGAUAUGAAAGAUUCUUGAAAUGGAGAUCAAGGUUCGAGCCCUAUAAAAAUAAAAUGAAAAUUCGAAAGGAGAAGAUUAUUUUAGUUUAGGGAUAGAUAGAUGCAGAUUAUGCAGGCGACCUGAAUGAUAGAAGGUCCCAUACAAGUUAUAUUUUCACACUUGCAAGAGCGAAGCCAAUCAAAAUGGAAAUGCUUGAACUUGAUUAACUUCGCCAAGGUCGAGAGGUUGUGGAACACAAAUUUACUGGAUCAAAUGGGCUGACAUCGGAGUGGAGCAAGGGAGAGUAUACUUCGCUAAAUAGUUCGGAUUUAGUCUUGUAUGGAUUCGGGCUAGGGUUAAUAUAAAUAAUAAUGUUGUUAUCUUUGCUUCCCUCUCGUGGACAUAGG